Molecule: long non-coding RNA, 1169 nt
Organism: Archocentrus centrarchus (flier cichlid)
Lineage: Eukaryota; Metazoa; Chordata; Actinopteri; Cichliformes; Cichlidae
Exons: 3
Source: RefSeq, a predicted model, not a curated record
CGCGCUAGCACACGAUAAACUAACAAAAGAGAACUGACUAGUAAAUACUACCCAGUGACUGUUAGUAGGAGGCGUUGGAACCCACCCGCCCCACAGCUGUGCAGCAGCAGACGACGGUGAUUCAGAGCGAGGCAUCAGCAUUCGUCACGGUGACGAGCGCCAUCUUCUUUGCCCUGUCGGUGGCGAGUGGUGAGCGGAACAGACUGCAGACAAGAAUUGGUUGACUGUCGUCCCCAGGGGACGAGAGGGUGAGCUGGUUCGCAACGCGGAACUGUAAGUCAGGCGUUUCUGGUGCAGCUAUCGGCAGUGAGCUGCAGUCUGACAGCCUCUGAGCCAGAUCAGUCCUCUUCAUCUUCUUUAAACGCUCCAUGGUCUUCUUCACUGACUGUUGGCCGCAAGUCUGCACCAUUACAAACACUGUGUCCUGCAGGUUCUGAGCUGCAGUCUGACAGCCUCUGAGCCAGAUCACUCCUACUGAUAUCCUUUAACAGCUCCAUGAUCUUCUUCACUGACUGGUGGCCAUAAGUCUGCACCAUUGAAAACACUGUGUCCUGCAGGUCUGACUCCUCUAUCUCCAUCAGUUGUAAGAAGCCACAGUUCCUCCUGAGGAUCUCUUUGAGGUCCUCAAACUCGCUGUCACUCAGAUCAGCCAGUGUUUCCAAAAGUAGCUCAAUAAGAGACUCCAUCGUUUCUACCUGGUAAAAUCAGAGGUCAAAUGACAGCUGUGUACAAUUCAAAGGUCUGUUUGAUCUUUAAUUAACACAAAAUUGUUCAGUUUGUUAAACAUAAAUCCAAAGCUGAAAUUAGGUUCAAUUCAAGUCUUUGUAAAAUGAUGACCUUUGACCUUUGAACCAAACUCAGACAUAAAGGGCGUCUCUUUGAAGGCCAUGAGGGGUCGACCAGAUUUAGAGCAGAAAAUAACGUCCAUGAACAUCUGGUGCUUGGUGGGUACCUGCUUGCAUUAGUUUGUGUUUCUUUAGUAACCAGAAGGUGGUUCAUUGUUUCCUCCUUCUGAAGGAUUUCAUUUUCAUUAACAGGUUUGUGACAUUGUUUCACUGCCUGACUGUAACUCCUUCAUAGACUGCUGCAAAAACUGCAGCAAGUCUCCUGAUUUUACAAACAGAGGGAGGUUUAACUGCUCACAUCUUUACUGCUUAGAAACAGGGACG